This is a non-coding RNA of Acomys russatus (golden spiny mouse), 414 nucleotides long. NCBI's taxonomy places the organism in Eukaryota, Metazoa, Chordata, Mammalia, Rodentia, Muridae. The record is from the annotation of a RefSeq genome assembly.
AUGGAAUGGAUCUUGAUCAUCCUCUUCCUUCUGUCAGUACCUACAGGUGUCCACUCCGAGGUCCAGCUGCAGCAGUCUGGGGCUGAGUUGAGGAGUCCUGGGUCCUCAGUGAAGUUGUCCUGCAAAGCUUCUGGAUACACCUUCACAGACUACUCUAUGAGCUGGGUGAAGCAGAAGCUUGGACAGGGGCUGGAGUGGAUUGGAUCCAUUAAUACUUUCUAUGGUAAUACUGGCUACAAUCAGAAGUUCCAAGGCAAGGCCUCACUGACCGUAGACAAAUCCUCCAGCACAGCCUACAUGGAGCUCAGCAGCCUGGCAUUUGAGGACUCUGCUAUUUAUUACUGUGCCAGACCACAGUGCUGCAACCACAUCCUGAGUUGUCAAAAAACCAAGGGGUGCAGGAAGCUGCCCUGA